Molecule: ribosomal RNA, 1453 nt
Filed under: Lactiplantibacillus plantarum
Lineage: Bacteria; Bacillati; Bacillota; Bacilli; Lactobacillales; Lactobacillaceae
Description: bacterial SSU rRNA
Rfam family: Bacterial small subunit ribosomal RNA
Source: RNAcentral
GGCCUAAUACAUGCAAGUCGAACGAACUCUGGUAUUGAUUGGUGCUUGCAUCAUGAUUUACAUUUGAGUGAGUGGCGAACUGGUGAGUAACACGUGGGAAACCUGCCCAGAAGCGGGGGAUAACACCUGGAAACAGAUGCUAAUACCGCAUAACAACUUGGACCGCAUGGUCCGAGCUUGAAAGAUGGCUUCGGCUAUCACUUUUGGAUGGUCCCGCGGCGUAUUAGCUAGAUGGUGGGGUAACGGCUCACCAUGGCAAUGAUACGUAGCCGACCUGAGAGGGUAAUCGGCCACAUUGGGACUGAGACACGGCCCAAACUCCUACGGGAGGCAGCAGUAGGGAAUCUUCCACAAUGGACGAAAGUCUGAUGGAGCAACGCCGCGUGAGUGAAGAAGGGUUUCGGCUCGUAAAACUCUGUUGUUAAAGAAGAACAUAUCUGAGAGUAACUGUUCAGGUAUUGACGGUAUUUAACCAGAAAGCCACGGCUAACUACGUGCCAGCAGCCGCGGUAAUACGUAGGUGGCAAGCGUUGUCCGGAUUUAUUGGGCGUAAAGCGAGCGCAGGCGGUUUUUUAAGUCUGAUGUGAAAGCCUUCGGCUCAACCGAAGAAGUGCAUCGGAAACUGGGAAACUUGAGUGCAGAAGAGGACAGUGGAACUCCAUGUGUAGCGGUGAAAUGCGUAGAUAUAUGGAAGAACACCAGUGGCGAAGGCGGCUGUCUGGUCUGUAACUGACGCUGAGGCUCGAAAGUAUGGGUAGCAAACAGGAUUAGAUACCCUGGUAGUCCAUACCGUAAACGAUGAAUGCUAAGUGUUGGAGGGUUUCCGCCCUUCAGUGCUGCAGCUAACGCAUUAAGCAUUCCGCCUGGGGAGUACGGCCGCAAGGCUGAAACUCAAAGGAAUUGACGGGGGCCCGCACAAGCGGUGGAGCAUGUGGUUUAAUUCGAAGCUACGCGAAGAACCUUACCAGGUCUUGACAUACUAUGCAAAUCUAAGAGAUUAGACGUUCCCUUCGGGGACAUGGAUACAGGUGGUGCAUGGUUGUCGUCAGCUCGUGUCGUGAGAUGUUGGGUUAAGUCCCGCAACGAGCGCAACCCUUAUUAUCAGUUGCCAGCAUUAAGUUGGGCACUCUGGUGAGACUGCCGGUGACAAACCGGAGGAAGGUGGGGAUGACGUCAAAUCAUCAUGCCCCUUAUGACCUGGGCUACACACGUGCUACAAUGGAUGGUACAACGAGUUGCGAACUCGCGAGAGUAAGCUAAUCUCUUAAAGCCAUUCUCAGUUCGGAUUGUAGGCUGCAACUCGCCUACAUGAAGUCGGAAUCGCUAGUAAUCGCGGAUCAGCAUGCCGCGGUGAAUACGUUCCCGGGCCUUGUACACACCGCCCGUCACACCAUGAGAGUUUGUAACACCCAAAGUCGGUGGGGUAACCUUUUUAGGAACCAGCCCGCCCCUA